This 495-nucleotide ribosomal RNA is filed under the name uncultured bacterium. RNAcentral's name for it is "partial 16S ribosomal RNA". It matches the Rfam family "Bacterial small subunit ribosomal RNA", at positions 28 to 507 of the family's 1533-position model. The record is from RNAcentral.
GACGAACGCUGGCGGCGUGCCUAAUACAUGCAAGUAGAACGCUGAAGGAGGAGCUUGCUUCUCUGGAUGAGUUGCGAACGGGUGAGUAACGCGUAGGUAACCUGCCUGGUAGCGGGGGAUAACUAUUGGAAACGAUAGCUAAUACCGCAUAAGAGUAGAUGUUGCAUGACAUUUGCUUAAAAGGUGCAAUUGCAUCACUACCAGAUGGACCUGCGUUGUAUUAGCUAGUUGGUGGGGUAACGGCUUACCAAGGCGACGAUACAUAGCCGACCUGAGAGGGUGAUAGGCCACACUGGGACUGAGACACGGCCCAGACUCCUACGGGAGGCAGCAGUAGGGAAUCUUCGGCAAUGGACGGAAGUCUGACCGAGCAACGCCGCGUGAGUGAAGAAGGUUGUCGGAUCGGAAAGCUCUGUUGUAAGAGAAGAACGAGUGUGAGAGUGGAAAGUUCACACUGUGACGGUAUCUUACCAGAAAGGGACGGCUAACUACGUG